UACGGGGGGGGUAAGCGUUGUUCGGAAUUACUGGGCGUAAAGGGCUCGUAGGUGGCCAACUAAGUCAGACGUGAAAUCCCUCGGCUUAACCGGGGAACUGCGUCUGAUACUGGAUGGCUUGAGUGUGGGAGAGGGAUGCGGAAUUCCAGGUGUAGCGGUGAAAUGCGUAGAUAUCUGGAGGAACACCGGUGGCGAAGGCGGCAUCCUGGACCACGACUGACGCUGAGUGAGCGAAAGCCAGGGGAGCAAACGGG
Molecule: ribosomal RNA, 254 nt
Filed under: uncultured bacterium
Lineage: Bacteria
Description: partial 16S ribosomal RNA
Rfam family: Bacterial small subunit ribosomal RNA
Source: RNAcentral